GAUGAAGAACGUAGCGAAAUGCGAUAAGUAGUGUGAAUUGCAGAAUUCAGUGAAUCAUCGAAUCUUUGAACGCACAUUGCGCCCCUUGGUAUCCCGAGGGGCAUGCCUGUUCGAGCGUCAUUUCACCACUCAAGCCUGGCUUGGUGUUGGGCGACGUCCUCUUUGGGGACGCGCCUCGAAACGCUCGGCGGCGUGGCACCGGCUUUAAGCGUAGCAGAAUCUUUCGCUUUGGAAGUCGGGGCCCCGUCUGCCGGAAGACCUGCUCGCAAGGUUGACCUCGGAUCAGACAGGGAUACCCGCUGAACUUAAGCAUAUCAAUAAGCGGAGGA
RNAcentral lists this unclassified non-coding RNA (329 nucleotides) under soil metagenome. RNAcentral describes it as "partial contains 5.8S ribosomal RNA, internal transcribed spacer 2, and large subunit ribosomal RNA". The stretch from base 1 to 120 matches the Rfam family "5.8S ribosomal RNA", at positions 35 to 154 of the family's 154-position model. The record is from RNAcentral.